GAACAUUGAACCAGAAAAUCCUCAUCUUUUUCCCUCUCCAUCCCCACAUUCUUCCUCGCUCUCGCUCUCGCUCACUCUCGCGCUCCUGUUCACACUCAUGUUCCCGCUCCCGCUCCCGCUCCUGCUCUCGCUCUCGUGUUAAACACGUUCUCAGAUGAAUCACAAAUUAUAUCAGAAAAGAAAUUGCAAAACAAAACCCAAGCCUAAUCUCCUUAUCCCUAUCGAAAUUCACAUCUCUCUCUCUGUCAUAGUUCUUCAACCACGAUUCGUCACAGCUGUCUCCCUCUCUAUCACAGUUCUUCAACCAGAAUCGACUGCUGCCGUGUCUCAGCUUCUCUCGAUUGGUGGUGGUGCUGCUGC
Molecule: long non-coding RNA, 360 nt
Filed under: Citrus maxima (pomelo)
Lineage: Eukaryota; Viridiplantae; Streptophyta; Magnoliopsida; Sapindales; Rutaceae
Description: long non-coding RNA (CMAX_LNC002469)
Source: RNAcentral